GAACUCGCACAAGCGGUGGAGCAUGCGGUUUAAUUCGAUGCAACCCGAAGAACCUUACCAGGUCUUGACAUCCCAUUGACUAAUCUAGAGAUAGGUUAUUCCUUCGGGACAAUGGAGACAGGUGGUGCAUGGUUGUCGUCAGCUCGUGUCGUGAGAUGUUGGGUUAAGUCCCGCAACGAGCGCAACCCUUAUCAUUAGUUGCUAACAGUAAGAUGAGCACUCUAAUGAGACCGCCGGUGACAAACCGGAUGAAGGUGGGGAUGACGUCAAAUCAUCAUGCCCCUUAUGACCUGGGCUACACGCGUGCUACAAUGGCCGGUACAAAGAGUCGCAAAACCGCGAGGUGAAGCUAAUCUCAUAAAACCGGUCUCAGUUCAGAUUGUAGUCUGCAACUCGACUACAUGAAGGUGGAAUCGCUAGUAAUCGCAAAUCAGCAUGUUGCGGUGAAUACGUUCUCGAGUUUU
This 464-nucleotide ribosomal RNA is filed under the name uncultured bacterium. Its description in RNAcentral is "bacterial SSU rRNA". It matches the Rfam family "Bacterial small subunit ribosomal RNA", at positions 917 to 1382 of the family's 1533-position model. The record is from RNAcentral.